Cutaneotrichosporon spelunceum is the source of this 75-nucleotide non-coding RNA. The record is from the annotation of a GenBank genome assembly. Lineage: Eukaryota; Fungi; Basidiomycota; Tremellomycetes; Trichosporonales; Trichosporonaceae.
GUUGUUGUAGCUUAAUAGGUAAAGCAUAAAAUAUUUUUUAUAAUUUAUAUAUCUUACUCCUAAUAGUUCAAAACG